GGGGGAUAUUGCGCAAUGGGGGCAACCCUGACGCAGCAACGCCGCGUGAAGGAUGAAGGUUUUCGGAUUGUAAACUUCUUUUAUUAAGGACGAAAAAUGACGGUACUUAAUGAAUAAGCUCCGGCUAACUACGUGCCAGCAGCCGCGGUAAUACGUAGGGAGCAAGCGUUGUCCGGAUUUACUGGGUGUAAAGGGUGCGUAGGCGGCUUUGCAAGUCAGAUGUGAAAUCUAUGGGCUCAACCCAUAAACUGCAUUUGAAACUGUAGAGCUUGAGUGAAGUAGAGGCAGGCGGAAUUCCCCGCGUAGCGGUGAAAUGCGUAGAGAUGGGGAGGAACACCAGUGGCGAAGGCGGCCUGCUGGGCUUUAACUGACGCUGAGGCACGAAAGCGUGGGUAGCAAACAGGAUUAGAUACCCUGGUAGUCCACGCUGUAAACGAUGAUUACUAGGUGUGGGGGGUCUGACCCCUUCCGUGCCGGAGUUAACACAAUAAGUAAUCCACCUGGGGAGUACGGCCGCAAGGUUGAAACUCAAAGGAAUUGACGGGGGCCCGCACAAGCAGUGGAGUAUGUGGUUUAAUUCGAAGCAACGCGAAGAACCUUACCAGGUCUUGACAUCCAACUAACGAAGUAGAGAUACAUUAGGUGCCCUUCGGGGAAAGUUGAGACAGGUGGUGCAUGGUUGUCGUCAGCUCGUGUCGUGAGAUGUUGGGUUAAGUCCCGCAACGAGCGCAACCCUUGCUAUUAGUUGCUACGCAAGAGCACUCUAAUAGGACUGCCGUUGACAAAACGGAGGAAGGUGGGGACGACGUCAAAUCAUCAUGCCCCUUAUGACCUGGGCUACACACGUACUACAAUGGAUGUUAACAGAGGGAAGCAAGACAGCGAUGUGGAGCAAACCCCUAAAAACAUUCUCAGUUCAGAUUGCAGGCUGCAACCCGCCUGCAUGAAGAUGGAAUUGCUAGUAAUCGCGGAUCAGCAUGCCGCGGUGAAUACGUUCCCG
Molecule: ribosomal RNA, 1000 nt
Filed under: uncultured bacterium
Lineage: Bacteria
Also listed under: 1 other name
Description: bacterial SSU rRNA
Rfam family: Bacterial small subunit ribosomal RNA
Source: RNAcentral